Molecule: transfer RNA, 69 nt
Filed under: Ictidomys tridecemlineatus (thirteen-lined ground squirrel)
Lineage: Eukaryota; Metazoa; Chordata; Mammalia; Rodentia; Sciuridae
Description: Spermophilus tridecemlineatus (thirteen-lined ground squirrel) tRNA
Rfam family: tRNA
About the family: Transfer RNA (tRNA) molecules are approximately 80 nucleotides in length. Their secondary structure includes four short double-helical elements and three loops (D, anti-codon, and T loops).
Source: Rfam by way of RNAcentral
GGAGAUGUAGCUCAGUGGUAGAGCAUUUGCCUAGCAUGCACAAGACCCCGAGUUCAAUCCUCAGUACCA